AUGGCUGCCGUUGCGAUUCGAGCAGCCUGCUGCAGUUCAUUGAUGUCAGAAUUGCUGGCUAUCGGCAUGCUCAAGCUGCAUGGCAUUGCACAUUUAUCUCUAACUUGCCAUGCUCGAUGUAUUUGCAUGAUAUGCCGUGUCUUGUUCGAAUUCAAACUUUGUGUAUGGACUGAUGACGAACCAGAAGAUGAGCCAAAACAUGACAUUCUGAUUGAAUGGUGUACCGAGUUUGCGAACAUGUUCAAAACAGAACCAUUCAUUGAAUUCUGGCGUCUGUCUGGGGAGAAGUGUGGAUUUGAUAUGAAGUUUCUGGUAUUGGAAAAUGUAGUUCAAGCAAAGGUUGAUGUUGAGAUACUUCGUUCUGCGGUCGAUGGCCUCAAUCUGAAUCUUUAUGCGAAGACUAGUGACUUCAGAGAUGUGAUCCGCCUCUUUUCUGGAGUUUCAGAAUCAGGUUGCAGAAUGAGUUCGGCCAUCAGAGUGAUGAGACACAGUUAUCUUAAUUUUUGUAUUGAAGGAUCCCCGAAAGCUGGUGUUUUUUCUCAAGAGCUGCCGUGUUGUAUGUGGGAAGGUCGAUUUGGUUCACGGUAUCAUGGAACAGUGCAUGAAGUGGUGCAUCUUGAUGAUUCCACAAAAACUUCUGUCAAUGUUAAGAGUUGA
Molecule: ribosomal RNA, 657 nt
Filed under: Triticum aestivum (bread wheat)
Lineage: Eukaryota; Viridiplantae; Streptophyta; Magnoliopsida; Poales; Poaceae
Description: partial small subunit ribosomal RNA
Source: RNAcentral